AACGAACGCUGGCGGCAUGCCUAACACAUGCAAGUCGAACGUGAUCCAGGGCUUCGGCUCUGGUGAAAGUGGCGGACGGGUGAGUAACGCGUGGGAACCUGCCCAGUGGUAGGGGAUAACCGCGGGAAACUGCGGCUAAUACCCUAUGUGCCCUGCGGGGCAAAGAUUCAUCGCCAUUGGAGGGGCCCGCGUCGGAUUAGGUCGUUGGUGAGGUAACGGCUCACCAAGCCUGCGAUCCGUAGCUGGUCUGAGAGGAUGAUCAGCCACACUGGGACUGAGACACGGCCCAGACUCCUACGGGAGGCAGCAGUGGGGAGUAUUGGACAAUGGGGGCAACCCUGAUCCAGCAAUGCCGCGUGAGUGAUGAAGGCCUUAGGGUUGUAAAGCUCUUUCGGCGGGGAAGAUGAUGACGGUACCCGCAGAAGAAGCCCCGGCUAACUUCGUGCCAGCAGCCGCGGUAAUACGAAGGGGGCUAACGUUGUUCGGAAUUACUGGGCGUAAAGGGCGCG
Molecule: ribosomal RNA, 509 nt
Filed under: uncultured bacterium
Lineage: Bacteria
Description: bacterial SSU rRNA
Rfam family: Bacterial small subunit ribosomal RNA
Source: RNAcentral